UUUCCGUAGGUGAACCUGCGGAAGGAUCAUUAUUGUAUAACCGAGGUGCGAGGGCUGUCGCUGACCCGAAAGGUCGUGCACGCCCGAGUGCCCUCACACACAUCCAUCUCACCCCUAUGUGCACCACCGCGCGGGUCCCCCUUUGGCUUGUUCGGAGGGGGGCUUACGUUUUCACACAAACUUUGUAUGCAGUGUAGAAUGUAUUUUUUGUUUUUGCGAUCACGCAAUCAAUACAACUUUCAACAACGGAUCUCUUGGCUCUCGCAUCGAUGAAGAACACAGC
Molecule: unclassified non-coding RNA, 283 nt
Filed under: plant metagenome
Description: partial contains small subunit ribosomal RNA, internal transcribed spacer 1, and 5.8S ribosomal RNA
Rfam family: 5.8S ribosomal RNA (bases 235-283)
Source: RNAcentral